GGGUUGUGAGGUUAAGCGACUAAGCGUACACGGUGGAUGCCCUGGCAGUCAGAGGCGAUGAAGGGCGUGCUAAUCUGCGAUAAGCGCCGGUAAGGUGAUAUGAACCGUUAUAACCGGCGAUACCCGAAUGGGGAAACCCAGUGUGACUCGUCACACUAUCAUUAACUGAAUCCAUAGGUUAAUGAGGCGAACCGGGGGAACUGAAACAUCUAAGUACCCCGAGGAAAAUAAAUCAACCGAGAUUCCCCCAGUAGCGGCGAGCGAACGGGGAGGAGCCCAGAGCCUGAAUCAGCAUGUGUGUUAGUGGAAGCGUCUGGAAAGGCGCGCGAUACAGGGUGACAGCCCCGUACACAAAAGCGCAUGUGCUGUGAGCUCGAUGAGUAGGGCGGGACACGUGGUAUCCUGUCUGAAUAUGGGGGGACCAUCCUCCAAGGCUAAAUACUCCUGACUGACCGAUAGUGAACCAGUACCGUGAGGGAAAGGCGAAAAGAACCCCGGCGAGGGGAGUGAAAAAGAACCUGAAACCGUGUACGUACAAGCAGUGGGAGCCCCACCACCAAAGCAUUCUCUGGUGUUGAAGGCCCUGCAAAGCAGCAUCGCGGUGGCGGAGCGUCGUUUGCGACGCCCAACACACAAAACAAGCGGUGAGUGCUUUGGGGUGGGGUGACUGCGUACCUUUUGUAUAAUGGGUCAGCGACUUAUAUUCUGUAGCAAGGUUAACCGAAUAGGGGAGCCGGAGGGAAACCGAGUCUUAAUUGGGCGUUAAGUUGCAGGGUAUAGACCCGAAACCCGGUGAUCUAGCCAUGGGCAGGUUGAAGGUUGGGUAACACU
This 831-nucleotide ribosomal RNA is filed under the name Salmonella enterica. Its description in RNAcentral is "partial 23S ribosomal RNA". It matches the Rfam family "Bacterial large subunit ribosomal RNA", at positions 1 to 763 of the family's 2925-position model. The record is from RNAcentral. Lineage: Bacteria; Pseudomonadati; Pseudomonadota; Gammaproteobacteria; Enterobacterales; Enterobacteriaceae.